CCUACGGGUGGCAGCAGUGAGGAAUAUUGGUCAAUGGACGAGAGUCUGAACCAGCCAAGUAGCGUGAAGGAUGACUGCCCUAUGGGUUGUAAACUUCUUUUAUAUGGGAAUAAAAUGUUCCACGUGUGGGAUUUUGUAUGUACCAUACGUAUUAGGAACGGCUAAGUCCGUGCUAGCAGCCGCGGUAAUACGGAGGAUCCGAGCGUUAUCCGGAUUUAUUGGGUUUAAAGGGAGCGUAAGUGGAUUGUUAAGUCAGUUGUGAAAGUUUGCGGCUCAAACGUAAGAUUGCAGUUGAUACUGGCAGUCUAGAGUACAGUAGAGGUGGGCGGAAUUCGUGGUGUAGCGGUGAAAUGCUUAGAUAUCACGAAGAACUCCGAUUGCGAAGGCAGCUCACUGGACUUCAACUGACACUGAGGCUCGAAAGUGUGGGUAUCAAACAGGAUUAGAUACCCUUGUAGUC
RNAcentral lists this ribosomal RNA (460 nucleotides) under uncultured bacterium. RNAcentral's name for it is "partial 16S ribosomal RNA". It matches the Rfam family "Bacterial small subunit ribosomal RNA", at positions 338 to 795 of the family's 1533-position model. The record is from RNAcentral.